RNAcentral lists this long non-coding RNA (1346 nucleotides) under Papio anubis (olive baboon). Its description in RNAcentral is "lncRNA (ENSPANG00000037046.1)". Lineage: Eukaryota; Metazoa; Chordata; Mammalia; Primates; Cercopithecidae. The record is from RNAcentral.
AUCUGGAGACCCCAGGUUGGAAACCGCUGAACUAAACCUUUGACCAUCUUGCUGGGGUGAGUAACAAUAUAAAAUCGGAAUAGGAAUAGGGGAAAAAUAAAAGGAUGUGAUUAAUUUUAGAACCUAUGAGCCUUCUGGGAGGUAGGUAGGCUGGCUGAAAAAUCUGUGCUGGAUUUUUCUUGUAAAUUCUAAUGCCUCCACAGUGAAUGGGCAUUUAUUCACCAGGCUCUACUACAACACUGGGUUUGUGACCCUAGCCCCAUUCUAAUUAGAGGAGGAGAAUAGAUUGCCUGACCUCUUAUGAGCAAAGAAAAGUGGUCCAGGGUCUGGCUGGCCCUUAGCAAAGAGAAUCCCUACUAUUAAUGAAUAAGAGCUUGGGGGCUGAGCUCAAGACCUGAGUUCUCGUCAAGGCAUGUGGGCAAAGAAAAGGCUGUGUGAAAUCUGAAUAGUGGCUGAGUCUCAAAGUCUAGCAUGUGUGGACUGGAAGAGAGGAAAAUCUCAUCCAGUCAAAACAAUCCCUGUCAUGAAAGGGUAAAAUGAGACUCAGAGACUGAAGCAAAUUGUGCAAGGAAUCAUGCCAGAGGUGGCUAGAACCCAAAUCUAUGAAUUCCUUGAUUCUUGGGAAACCCCCACUGAAGAGAGUUGAGGGCAGGAAUUUGAUAUCCACUGCUGGGCUUUGUGUGAAUUUCUGAAGAAAAGUCCCUGGAGAGUUCUUCAUUCCCUACAUUGAAUUACAGACAUCAGUUUCUGCAGCUAUGGUGCUUGAUUCAUGCUUCUUUUAAAUAUGGGAACCUGAAAGAGGUUGAAAGAGCCUGCACCUUCCCUGGAGACAGAACAGUCCAGCAGAAUUACCCGGGGCUAGAACUGGAUAUCACUAGCCCUCCAAGAGAGUCCUGGCUGCUAAAGAAGGCACAGAUAGAAAACAAGAAAAAAGGAAGAAAGGGAGGGAGAUAUGAAGGAGCCACAGCAGCCAAAAUUUGCCAUCCUUCCUUUCAUCUCAGAGGGAGUAAAAAGAGGAGAAGAGAGGAACUGAGAAAACCACCUGGAGGAGGUAAGGGAAGCAGAAAAUGGAAGUUCAAGACCUAUACUUCCCUUUGCACCUGUUGUUAUCAGCUUUUAAAAGCAGACACAGAUUCUGGGGCAGGGGUGGCUGAACCCACACCAGGGGUAAGCCAAGGAAGGGCAGAAGUUUGGUGUGAGAGGCAAAAGUGAAUUUAGUAUUUCUUCAGGAGCCUAGAAACCUAAGUUCUGGUUGCAGCUCCAGCUGUGGGAUUUGGGCAAUCACCUAUGAACCUUAGUUUCCACCAGUGCAGAGUGAAAAGUCCAGAUUAGAUGAUCUCAAAGAG